Molecule: long non-coding RNA, 500 nt
Filed under: Vulpes vulpes (red fox)
Lineage: Eukaryota; Metazoa; Chordata; Mammalia; Carnivora; Canidae
Description: lncRNA (ENSVVUG00000029959.1)
Source: RNAcentral
GGCGCCUCUGAGUCUGAUUUUCAAUCUUUACUAAAAAGAAGCAAACAAAAACCCUAAGAUUAAUGACAACAAAACCCAGCUUCCUGUGAGAUAUCGUUCAGCCAUGUGGAAGGAAGACAUCCUCUGUUUGCAGCAACACAGAUGCACCUUGAGAGCAUUGAGUUUUUUAAUGAAGGAUGCAGAAUGAUAAGCCGGGACUUCUCUCCAAGUUCACAACGUACAUAAGAAAACAAGAGAUACCACUUAACAGAGGUUCAGGAAGCUCAUUCAGUGGUAUUGCAACAUCCUCAUAUGGCAGCCUGUCUUCUUGGCAAGCGUCAUCAAUCAAAUCCAAGAUCCCUCCAUGUCUUAGUACUGCACUGGCCAUUCUCCUGCAGCUAAUCUGGUCAGAUCAGCACCGCCCAAUGUUGUACCCUGCUCUUGAACUUUAGUCUUAAAAUGAACAAAAAUGAAACCAAGACAAAUGACAAAAAUAAUAAAACAAAUAUUCUUCACUUUCA